Lagopus leucura (white-tailed ptarmigan) is the source of this 1851-nucleotide long non-coding RNA. RefSeq lists it as uncharacterized. The transcript has 4 exons. The record is from RefSeq and is a predicted model, not a curated record. Lineage: Eukaryota; Metazoa; Chordata; Aves; Galliformes; Phasianidae.
AUCUUGUUAGUGAGGAUUAAAUACUUGGAACAAUCCAGCACAAGCGUCAGUUCUACUGGAAGUGAAUAGGGCAAACUUUCCUAUGAGCUGCCCUACUUACAACCCAGAGGUGCACCACGGGAUGGCUUCCACAGCCUCACAAUGGAAAGAGCCACAGUUCUCCAUGCUGCAUGGCAAAGCAAAGGCAGGAAAGUAAACACCAGGAUUCACCAGGUGCAAAGCAAACAGCUCAAUAACCACCACAGUCACAGCCUGCCCUGCUCCAGUGCUCAUAGGUGGAGCUUAUAGGUGGAGUUCCCAGGUGCCUCCCAGUGCCCAGCCCAAAUCCAGCUGCCUUCAGCCUCUCAGCUGCCACAGGUAUGUGCAAUCAGAUAUGGAAGCCAGCUGCAACGUGAGCUAUGUUUUCCUUUCAAGCUUCCUCUCUUUACCUGAAAUGCUACAUCUUCCACAGCUUUAAGGUUCUCUAUGCCUUUGAAAAAGAAUGCCAGAGCAAGAAGAACAAACAAAAGGCUGCAGCUCCCCAGCUCCAAGAGCAGAGGAGUCGUCACCCAGAGGUGACCUAGGGGCUUUGAACACCAGGCACUGUUAGCUGUAAAUGCAGACCACUACAACGUUCUCAAGAUUUCCAAUUGCAGUAAAGGCACUGGGAGCAAGAGAUGGAUAGGUUGCCAGCUGUGUCAGUAUGAUAAGACAAGCAAGGACACCAAAGCUUUCAUUUGAAAGCAACUUGAAACCUCAGCAGUGACACAGGGCAAAUCAGCACAUAAGCUGCACAUGGAACUCUGAGCAAGGCACUGUGGGCAAACGUUUCUUAUCUUCAGCUGACGUCAAUAGGAAUAGCAGCAAAGUGUUUCCUAGAGAGGAGGAGGAGAAAGUCCAAAAGAUUUUUCAGCAGUAAAAAAGUGCUUUUUAUAAAGCAGUGCUUUAUAAAAUGUUACUGCUUUUCAUUGACAAUGAGCAGACAGAAUCACCCACAAGUUCUCCCAGAAGUCUGCUUGCUUGUAUGGAUUUAACAGUGCCAUUCCUGCAGGAAUGCUGCCUGCUAUCUCCGCUGCAUCCCAAAGACAACCUGGGAAGCAAAGUCUCUCAAGCAGCACAAGGGAGCAGAGAUGUGCUGGUGCUUCUUGAUAGUUUCUCUUCCUGCCACACUUUUGGAAAACAAUUGAAGGACUGCCAAGGUCAAUGGCACUGCGGUGAUUUCCACUGGUGACAGACAGAAAGCUAGAUCACCAGUGUGUCCCUGAAGCACAGGAUAUGAUGUCCUCUUGGGAACCCAGCUGGGGAAACUGGAAUUCAAAGGUAAACAAAAUCUUCUGACUCACAGUCCCUAUGGUCAGCCACGAGACAAUCCUCCUCUCCCAUCUUAAGGUCUGUGAGGCCCAAGAAGCUGACUCUGACUCACUGAGGAGGGCUGAGGACUGGGCCAUUUCCACAGUGUGCACCUUUCUUCCUGACAGCGCAGACAGAAGUCAGACGGGAGAAAGCCUGCACCGCACUGCCCCAGUUUCUCUUCAGGUAUCACUGGGCCUUGAUUGUUCUCUUUGGUACAAGAAUAAGUUAAACUCAUAUUUGUAAGUAUCUGUUUGAACUCCCCUGCACUGAUAGGCACAGGCAUUGGGAAAUUUGUAUUUAGUACCACCACUGCUGCAUCUUUGAACUUAAUUUUGGAAGCACCCCUGUCACCCCAGUGAAAGUAAAACACGAUAUGGAACUAAAAGCUUCCUGCCAGACUUACAAUGCUAAGUGCUGCCAGCUUUUUCUGGAGAAGAGUCUUCAGUAAAAUAUUUUCUAAUUGAGGAAUGCUGAUUCCUUCAAACUGUUGACUUUCUGGUGAGAACCACAAAGGAAAAC